This is a non-coding RNA of Trichobilharzia regenti, 46 nucleotides long. The record is from Rfam. Lineage: Eukaryota; Metazoa; Platyhelminthes; Trematoda; Strigeidida; Schistosomatidae.
GUACUCCUGAAGAGUCCCAAACUAGGGCGAAACAGCUUUCCAGUAC